AUUGAACGCUGGCGGCAGGCCUAACACAUGCAAGUCGAGCGGAUGAAGGGAGCUUGCUCCUGGCUUCAGCGGCGGACGGGUGAGUAAUGCCUAGGAAUCUGCCUGGUAGUGGGGGAUAACGUCAGGACACGGGCGCUAAUACCGCAUACGUCAUGAGGGAGAAAGUGGGGGAUCUUCGGACCUCACGCUAUCAGAUGAGACUAGGUCGGAUUAGCUAGUUGGUGGGGUAAAGGCCUACCAAGGCGACGAUCCGUAACUGGUCUGAGAGGAUGAUCAGUCACACUGGAACUGAGACACGGUCCAGACUCCUACGGGAGGCAGCAGUGGGGAAUAUUGGACAAUGGGCGAAAGCCUGAUCCAGCCAUGCCGCGUGUGUGAAGAAGGUCUUCGGACUGUAAAGCACUUUAAGUUGGGAGGAAGGGCAGUAAGUGAAUACCUUGCUGUUUUGACGUUACCAACAGAAUAAGCACCGGCUAACUUCGUG
This 484-nucleotide ribosomal RNA is filed under the name uncultured bacterium. RNAcentral describes it as "partial 16S ribosomal RNA". It matches the Rfam family "Bacterial small subunit ribosomal RNA", at positions 30 to 507 of the family's 1533-position model. The record is from RNAcentral.